This 502-nucleotide ribosomal RNA is filed under the name Afroptilum sp. BMNH 704113. RNAcentral describes it as "partial 16S ribosomal RNA". It matches the Rfam family "Bacterial large subunit ribosomal RNA", at positions 1814 to 2603 of the family's 2925-position model. Lineage: Eukaryota; Metazoa; Arthropoda; Insecta; Ephemeroptera; Baetidae. The record is from RNAcentral.
CAUCGUUUAAAGAAAAAAUUUUAAAUACCGCCUGCCCACUGAUUUAAAGGGCCGCAGUAUACUGACUGUGCAAAGGUAGCAUAAUCAUUUGUCUUUUAAUUGAAGGCUUGUAUGAAUGGCGAGACGGGGUGGAAACUGUUCCAAACUUAUAAACUUAAUUUAAUUAGUAAGUCAAAAAGCUUACAUUGACCCGCAGGACGAGAAGACCCCAUAGAGCUUGAUAAUGUAAACAUAAUUUUAUUUAGAAAUUAAUUGGUAUAUGAUUUAAAUUUAUUUGGUUGGGGCGACUUGAAGUAAUAAAACACUUUAAAAAUAAACUUUAAUAGAAGGAUUUUGGAUCCUGUAAUGAUUAAAAAAUUAAGCUACCUUGGGGAUAACAGCGUAAUCUAGUUUUAGAGUUCUUAUCAAAUACUAGGAUUGCGACCUCGAUGUUGGAUUAAGAUUCAUUUUAGGUGUAGCAGUCUAAUAAUGGGGUCUGUUCGACCUUUAAAAUCUUACAUGA